GACCAACCAUCCUGGUUUGCCUGGGACUGAGGGGUUUCCCAAGAUGUAGGACUUCCAGUGGUAAUACUGGGAAUGU
RNAcentral lists this microRNA precursor (76 nucleotides) under Loxodonta africana (African savanna elephant). Its description in RNAcentral is "miRNA (ENSLAFG00000025774.1)". The record is from RNAcentral. Lineage: Eukaryota; Metazoa; Chordata; Mammalia; Proboscidea; Elephantidae.